UAGCUAUAAUAGUGGUAAUGGUGGCACCAGCUAAAUCGCUUCUUUGUUACCAGUGCCAAGCCUGGUCUAUACCAACAGACAACAACUUGGAACAACUCUGCAAACCAGGGGACCGUGUGUGGUGUAAGGGGGAGAAAGUAUGCUCAACCAUUACUACAACCUUCCUUACCGGACUUGAUGAGGAUGGCAAGCCCGUAGACAACUGGAUAAAAAUACAUGAUUGUAUGGAAGAGGCAGAGGUAGAGUCGAAAUAUGCCAAAAAUGACAGGGAAGAAGUGCUCGCCCCAAAGUUCAAGGAAUUUAGUGAUUAUGCCCUUGAAAUAGAAUUAUGUGAGGAGGAGCUGUGUAACUCAGAUUUUUACUUAAAAGAACCAGUCUGUAACAAGACAACUAUUGACAACGGUGUGGUUUCUCCGGAUACACUGACAAUAGAGUCUGGAUCUACUUACUCGGUAACCUGUGACGAAGGGUUCGUAAUCUCUGGAUCCCCAACCAUAAAUUGUGACGGCGGUCAACUCUCGGAACUUCCAACAUGCAAAAUAGGGGAGUGCAUGGUAGAACUGGCAGAAGUAAAAAUAAAAAAACCAAAUAGAGAUUACUGAAUGUCCGGAACAACCCACAUGGAGUGUACCAAAACAACUCCUUGGAAAGAAGAUUACAAAAAAUACAGUCAAGAAAUUGAUGAAGAAGCCGGAAACCCAAAACGUCGGAUACG
This is a long non-coding RNA of Bolinopsis microptera, 715 nucleotides long. RefSeq lists it as uncharacterized. The transcript has 4 exons. The record is from RefSeq and is a predicted model, not a curated record. Lineage: Eukaryota; Metazoa; Ctenophora; Tentaculata; Lobata; Bolinopsidae.